RNAcentral lists this ribosomal RNA (218 nucleotides) under uncultured bacterium. RNAcentral's name for it is "partial 16S ribosomal RNA". It matches the Rfam family "Bacterial small subunit ribosomal RNA", at positions 524 to 740 of the family's 1533-position model. The record is from RNAcentral.
UACGUAGGGUGCAAGCGUUAAUCGGAAUUACUGGGCGUAAAGCGUGCGCAGGCGGUUUUGUAAGUCUGUCGUGAAAUCCCCGGGCUCAACCUGGGAAUUGCGAUGGAGACUGCAAGGCUAGAAUCUGGCAGAGGGGGGUAGAAUUCCACGUGUGAGCAGUGAAAUGCGUAGAGAUGUGGAGGAACACCGAUGGCGAAGGCAGCCCCCUGGGUCAAGAU